CCUACGGGAGGCAGCAGUGGGGAAUCUUCCGCAAUGGACGCAAGUCUGACGGAGCAACGCCGCGUGGGUGAUGAAGGUUUUCGGAUUGUAAAGCCCUGUCUGGAGGGAAGAAAUAAUGACGGUACCUCCGGAGGAAGCCCCGGCUAACUACGUGCCAGCAGCCGCGGUAAU
Molecule: ribosomal RNA, 171 nt
Filed under: uncultured bacterium
Lineage: Bacteria
Description: partial 16S ribosomal RNA
Rfam family: Bacterial small subunit ribosomal RNA
Source: RNAcentral